GGGGGCUAUUCCCAUUAGUUACAAAAAUUGCUUUGUUAAAAAUCUGUCCUUUAGGAUAGAAAGUGUUUCUCUGCCUUCUUCUUUCGGGAUCCGAAGGGAGUAACCAUAUGAAAUGAUGACCGGCAGACUCUGAUCAGUUUCCUGAUCAGAUGUCUUGGAUCACGCCCCCUAACGUGGAAAUACAGGUGAAUGUGCAAAAUGAGUGUGUAAAUACAGAUGCAUGAGGGCACGGGUGAAGGUGGAGAGUGAGGGGAGACACGCACUUACGUGGCGUCAGAACGAACACAGCUGUGUGCCAGAGGAAGUCAUCCAGAGGACGUGACCCCUGGCUGACCUGUGAGCUGGACCCAGAGGCUCCUCACCCCCACUCGCCCCUCCCACCCUUGAAGUGUGCAUUCUGGCCACACUGUUCCUGCACUAGGAACUACUUCAAGGAUGCCACCUUGAAAGAGCAAUGUGUUGGUGAGAUCCACUGGAUGGCACAUAUGACUGAACCCUGUUAAAACCUCUAUAAACUGUUAAGUUUCUGG
Long non-coding RNA from Bubalus bubalis (water buffalo), 530 nucleotides. RefSeq lists it as uncharacterized. The transcript has 2 exons. NCBI's taxonomy places the organism in Eukaryota, Metazoa, Chordata, Mammalia, Artiodactyla, Bovidae. The record is from RefSeq and is a predicted model, not a curated record.